This 677-nucleotide long non-coding RNA is filed under the name Cricetulus griseus (Chinese hamster). RNAcentral's name for it is "lncRNA (ENSCGRG00000024317.1)". Lineage: Eukaryota; Metazoa; Chordata; Mammalia; Rodentia; Cricetidae. The record is from RNAcentral.
CUGGGAAAUGUAGUAAAGAAGUGAUGAUCCAGGCAGGAAAUGACAUAGCAGGGAGACUCAUACAUAAACAAGGGAAGAAGGAAGUGGGCCCCUUCUCUCUUCCUCCAGAGUCACCAUGUGAUCCCGGGAUGAGGACGCCAAUGGCAGGUGUCUGAUAAGGAUUUUCCUCAGAACUCACAGCAAAAUUUAGUGAGAACAUGCAGCCAUGAGCUCUAAAUGAUGCGUGCGGUGUGCCAUUCGUCUCCCAGUGCGAGCAUCACAUACAUCUGAGGACUGCAGCUCAGAGCGGGAAAGCCUACGCUUCCUAGAACAUCACCUUCAUCUCUGCUGUAAUGCCCCCGAUGAAUAAUGUAAAAGAAAAUCAGCGCUCCUUACUGGAAGCCAUUUUACACGACAGGAUGGAAAAUCCAUCAGAUUUCAGGCUCUGUUGCUUCGACGAAACCUUGUGGUCACCGACGUUACACCGGGAUGGAGAUGACUGGCAUUGCCUUUACAUUGUGUUGGAAGAGCAGAGAAUUAUGUCUUGGUCUCAGUGUUGCUGGAGAAUGAAUGCUGAGACUGAGUUUACUGAAGACCCUGCUCCUCCUAUCUUUUAUACCUCUCUAGUGCUGGGAUUAAAGGCAUGUGAUACCAAGUGCUGAGAUCAUCUUUGUGUGAGCUGUUUCUCUCAGCACCGG